GCCGCUGUGGUGAAACUGGUAGACGCGCACGACUCAAAAUCGUGUGGGAGCAAUCCCAUGUCGGUUCGAUUCCGACCAGCGGCACAA
Molecule: transfer RNA, 87 nt
Filed under: Candidatus Portnoybacteria bacterium CG_4_9_14_3_um_filter_44_9
Lineage: Bacteria; Candidatus Portnoyibacteriota
Description: tRNA-Leu
Rfam family: tRNA
About the family: Transfer RNA (tRNA) molecules are approximately 80 nucleotides in length. Their secondary structure includes four short double-helical elements and three loops (D, anti-codon, and T loops). Further hydrogen bonds mediate the characteristic L-shaped molecular structure. tRNAs have two regions of fundamental functional importance: the anti-codon, which is responsible for specific mRNA codon recognition, and the 3' end, to which the tRNAs corresponding amino acid is attached (by aminoacyl-tRNA synthetases). tRNAs cope with the degeneracy of the genetic code in two manners: having more than one tRNA (with a specific anti-codon) for a particular amino acid; and 'wobble' base-pairing, i.e. permitting non-standard base-pairing at the 3rd anti-codon position.
Source: RNAcentral